Molecule: ribosomal RNA, 468 nt
Filed under: uncultured bacterium
Lineage: Bacteria
Description: partial 16S ribosomal RNA
Rfam family: Bacterial small subunit ribosomal RNA
Source: RNAcentral
GACGAACGCUGGCGGCGUGCUUAACACAUGCAAGUCGAACGGAAAGGCCCUGCUUUUGUGGGGUGCUCGAGUGGCGAACGGGUGAGUAACACGUGAGUAACCUGCCCUUGACUUUGGGAUAACUUCAUGAAACUGGGGCUAAUACCGGAUAGGAGCUCCUGCUGCAUGGUGGGGGUUGGAAAGUUUCGGCGGUUGGGGAUGGACUCGCGGCUUAUCAGCUUGUUGGUGGGGUAGUGGCUUACCAAGGCUUUGACGGGUAGCCGGCCUGAGAGGGUGACCGGCCACAUUGGGACUGAGCUACGGCCCAGACUACUACGGGAGGCAGCAGUGGGGAAUAUUGCACAAUGGGCGGAAGCCUGAUGCAGCAACGCCGCGUGCGGGAUGACGGCCUUCGGGUUGUAAACCGCUUUCGCCUGUGCCGAAGCGUGAGUGACGGUAAUGGGUAAAGAAGCACCGGCUAACUACGUG